GCGUUGCAGACUUGUAACAGGUGACCCCAUUUUAGUACAUAGAUUGGAACCGGCCACAACUCCAAGUAAAGCCCCAUGUAGCCUCUUGUCUAGCCCAGCCCAAGUUGGCUUUAAGGAUAAUCUUAGGUCGUUCCCAGUCCCCAGCCUCCCCUGUUCCUCUCCUAACCUCCCACGCCGGCCGCCGCCCCUCGUCAGUUGCCGCACAUGAGCACUCCCCUGCGAUCCUCUCUCCCGGCGUGCCGUCCCUCACCACUCCCCUGAGAACCUCUGUCCAGGCGCGCCGCCCCUCAACACUCCCCUGCGAACCUCCAUCCAGGCGCGCCGUCCCUCAUCUCCACUCCCCGGCGACCCUGCAUCCCGGCACGCCAUCCCUCGUCACUGCUCCCCUGCACGCGACCAACGGUGAAUCCAAGGUGGCUUAUACAGCGUCAGUGGAUAUGGUGUCAACAAGAGGUUUAUUGUGUUGUUUGGCAGUAGGUUUUAUUGUUGUCCGUGUUCCUGCUCUUCGAUUCAAACAAUCUUCUCGAUUAUUGGAUGACUCAAGAAUUGAGUCCUGGUUGCACUUAUGAUGUGGGCUGAUAUGGUUGUGUGUGUAGCCCUGACCAAACUCUGGCCCCUCCAAAGUUAGGUGCAGGAGUUCAGGUUCAUUCUUCAUCAGUUUUAAUGCCAAGGAUUCAUAUUUGGAUGAUACUUCCUGAUCAACGGAUUUAUGUCGAUAUUGUUUUUUAAGAUGGAGCUACAUAAUUGUUCGUUGGUGAUCGACCUCAAUAAUCUGGCGUUUCCAAUAUGUUGGUGUUUGAUCGAGUAUUCUUGAAAAAGCCUGGAAAAGCAUAACGGAGACAUAUCUCUUGCUACAGUUGUAAGUUGUGUUCUUAAAUUUAAACUUGAUGGUGUUGAACUUACAAAUGAAUUCUGGGAAGUGCAUGUCGAUAUGGCACUUGUGAAGACUUGCCAUUUGGUACGGAGUUGCAAACUGCAUUACUCUCGGUAAUGCAGACAAAACAAAGAUUGCAUGGCCUUCAACCUUUAUUCAAAAGAUAAAUGGAUGAUUAUAUGGGUGCCUGGCAAGUAUACUGCAAUGAAGAUGAUGAUGUUCCUGAUCAUGAUGAGAAGAUGGAUGCUUAGAGUUUUAGUUAAGUUGUAGGGACGAUGUUCUUCGGUUAUGUUUUAGUUAAGUUGUACGGAUGUUGAUGGAUGCUUUCAGUUUAACUUUUGCUGUCAGGAAAAUAGUUGGAUUAUGCAUCACAUCUCGAUGAUGUUCCUCCUGUAAUAUCCACUAUUGUAAUCCAACAUAUUUAUCUAAUAUAUGAUUUGUUCCUCC
Triticum aestivum (bread wheat) is the source of this 1321-nucleotide long non-coding RNA. RefSeq lists it as uncharacterized. The transcript has 5 exons. The record is from RefSeq and is a predicted model, not a curated record. NCBI's taxonomy places the organism in Eukaryota, Viridiplantae, Streptophyta, Magnoliopsida, Poales, Poaceae.